RNAcentral lists this transfer RNA (67 nucleotides) under Ictidomys tridecemlineatus (thirteen-lined ground squirrel). Its description in RNAcentral is "Spermophilus tridecemlineatus (thirteen-lined ground squirrel) tRNA". It matches the Rfam family "tRNA". Rfam says of the family: Transfer RNA (tRNA) molecules are approximately 80 nucleotides in length. Lineage: Eukaryota; Metazoa; Chordata; Mammalia; Rodentia; Sciuridae. The record is from Rfam by way of RNAcentral.
GGGGUUGUGGCUCAGUGGUGAGCGCUCGCCUGGCAUGCGUGCGGCCCGGGUUCGAUCCUCAGCACCA